AACGAACGUUGGCGGCGUGGAUUAGGCAUGCAAGUCGAACGAAUCCCGGGGGGCAACUCCCGGGGGAAGUGGCGAAAGGGGCAGUAAAGCGUGGGUAACCUACCCCGGGGAUCGGGAUAGCCUUCCUAACGGAGGGGUAAUACCGGGCGAUGCGGUCUGGUCGCAUGAUCGGACCGUGAAAUGAAUUUCGCCUCGGGAGGGGCUCACGUGGUAUUAGCUAGUUGGUGAGGUAACGGCUCACCAAGGCUUAGAUGCCUAGCAGGCGUGAGAGCGUGACCUGCGCCACUGGCACUGAGACACUGGCCAGACUCCUACGGGAGGCUGCAGUCGAGGAUCUUCGGCAAUGGGCGCAAGCCUGACCGAGCGACGCCGCGUGUGCGAUGAAGGCCUUCGGGUUGUAAAGCACUGUCGAGGGAGAGGAAGCCGCAAGGUUGACCGACCCCUGGAGGAAGCACGGGCUAAGUUCGUGCCAGCAGCCGCCGUAAAAC
RNAcentral lists this ribosomal RNA (488 nucleotides) under uncultured bacterium. RNAcentral describes it as "bacterial SSU rRNA". It matches the Rfam family "Bacterial small subunit ribosomal RNA", at positions 28 to 526 of the family's 1533-position model. The record is from RNAcentral.